RNAcentral lists this ribosomal RNA (461 nucleotides) under uncultured Bdellovibrio sp. RNAcentral's name for it is "bacterial SSU rRNA". It matches the Rfam family "Bacterial small subunit ribosomal RNA", at positions 29 to 505 of the family's 1533-position model. The record is from RNAcentral. Lineage: Bacteria; Pseudomonadati; Bdellovibrionota; Bdellovibrionia; Bdellovibrionales; Pseudobdellovibrionaceae.
AACGAACGCUUGCGGCGCGCCUAAUACAUGCAAGUCGAACGAGAAAGUAGCUUCGGUUACGAGUACAGUGGCGGACGGGUGAGGAACGCGUGGAUAACCUGCCCUUAAGCGGGGGAUAACUACUCGAAAGAGUAGCUAAUACCGCAUAACAUUGCGACUUCUGCGGAAGAUGCAAUUAAAGGCUUCGGCCACUUAAGGAUGGGUCCGCGUCCGAUUAGCUUGUUGGUGGGGUAAAGGCCUACCAAGGCUACGAUCGGUAGCUGGUCUCAGAGGAUGAUCAGCCACACUGGAACUGAGACACGGUCCAGACUCCUACGGGAGGCAGCAGUAGGGAAUAUUGCACAAUGGAGGAAACUCUGAUGCAGCGACGCCGCGUGAGUGAUGAAGGCCUUCGGGUUGUAAAGCUCUGUGAUAGGGGAAGAUAAUGACGGUACCCUAUCAGAAAGGACCGGCUAACUUCG